This 271-nucleotide ribosomal RNA is filed under the name uncultured bacterium. RNAcentral describes it as "partial 16S ribosomal RNA". It matches the Rfam family "Bacterial small subunit ribosomal RNA", at positions 524 to 794 of the family's 1533-position model. The record is from RNAcentral.
UACGUAGGGGGCAAGCGUUGUCCGGAAUCAUUGGGCGUAAAGCGCGUGUAGGCGGUCCGGUAAGUCCGUUGUGAAAGUCAAGGGCUCAACCCUUGAAUGCCGGCGGAUACUGCCGGGCUAGAGUCCGGAAGAGGUGAGUGGAAUUCCCGGUGUAGCGGUGAAAUGCGCAGAUAUCGGGAGGAACACCAAUGGCGAAGGCAGCUCACUGGGACGGUACUGACGCUGAGACGCGAAAGCGUGGGGAGCAAACAGGAUUAGAUACCCUUGUAGU